AGAAUUCGCAACAUCCCAAAGGUGUGCCAAUUUUGACAUGUUCAUGUUACUUCCAUUUCUGCAUUUUUAAUGAGCCUAUUUAUCAUCUCAAUGCACAAAAUAGCUAAUAAUACUACAAAAAUUAUUACACGGAUAUGCUAUGAGAAAACUAAUUAUACGUACUGAAGCUAUGCCUCUGUUGGACAAUGAUUUACUAGGUUGGCUUUCCGACAUUAACCG
This 219-nucleotide unclassified non-coding RNA is filed under the name Hevea brasiliensis (rubber tree). The record is from RNAcentral. Lineage: Eukaryota; Viridiplantae; Streptophyta; Magnoliopsida; Malpighiales; Euphorbiaceae.